UACGUAGGGUGCAAGCGUUAAUCGGAAUUACUGGGCGUAAAGCGUGCGCAGGCGGCUUUGCAAGACAGAUGUGAAAUCCCCGGGCUCAACCUGGGAACUGCAUUUGUGACUGCAUGGCUAGAGUACGGUAGAGGGGGAUGGAAUUCCGCGUGUAGCAGUGAAAUGCGUAGAUAUGCGGAGGAACACCGAUGGCGAAGGCAAUCCCCUGGACCUGUACUGACGCUCAUGCACGAAAGCGUGGGGAGCAAACAGG
Molecule: ribosomal RNA, 253 nt
Filed under: uncultured bacterium
Lineage: Bacteria
Also listed under: 2 other names
Description: partial 16S ribosomal RNA
Rfam family: Bacterial small subunit ribosomal RNA
Source: RNAcentral